Magnolia sinica is the source of this 1271-nucleotide long non-coding RNA. RefSeq lists it as uncharacterized. The record is from RefSeq and is a predicted model, not a curated record. The transcript has 2 exons. NCBI's taxonomy places the organism in Eukaryota, Viridiplantae, Streptophyta, Magnoliopsida, Magnoliales, Magnoliaceae.
UGCAGAUAGUCAUGGGUUUGUGAGGGCAUCCCAUUUUUCUGUUGCUACAAAAGUGUUUUUCUUUGAGAGAAAUUUCAUACUCAAAAAUCUUCUUCUAUAACUGAGUGGGUUUUCAUCUUCUAAAAAAAUCAAAGCCAUUCUUACAAAAGAGGAACGCGAACCUGUCUUGCACUUCGGGAGACACAGUCAGACAUGCCCACAUGGCACUCGUCUAGAGCUCAUCAGGUGUGCCCAACCAUGGUGCUUGUCCAAACUCCAGGCUGGUCUACCACCCAGUGGGCCAUACAUAGCCCACAUUCAAGCUGUUGGAGAGCUUCGAGCAAUCGUUCCCAUCAUUAAGUUUCCCUCCCCUGCCAGAGCGAGGGGAUUUCGACUUGAAAGACGUACUCGAUGCCACAUAUUUCUUCAACUAAUCUUCAGUGCUCUCUCCACUGUUCUUUGUCACAUUCAACUGCUGUGCAGUGGCUCUGAAUCAGUGGUUCCAUUCCAUGUCUGGCACUCAAUUAGGGGAUGGCGGUACUGUAUUCUUUCAUUUGUUAGCGUGGCAAAGCUGAGAGAGGGUUCUGCCGAGCAAGUUCUGCUCUUACAACCCCAUUGGACCAGCCAUGCUGUUGAUGUAAAUAUAUCAGAACAAGAUGUUUUCAAGCUUGGAAGAGAAGAUAUCCAUGUAUUGCACAGUACCUCUACUCAGGCUGGCCCUAUUUUUCCAUGUUGUAUGGGCCACGUGUGAUUUAGGUAAAAUCAUGGAGAAGCUUGCUACAAAGAUACGCAUGCAUAGAGAGAGAGAGAGAGAGAGAGAGAGAGAGAGAGAGAGAAGCUUGCUUGAGGGAGAGAGAAGCUUGCUUGAGGCUGACUGGCUAACCAUGAAGUAAAGAGCAGAUUUUGAUUAGAUAGUUUUUGAAAGUCAACAGAUGAAGAAUGAUAUAAUCUAUAAACCACUCCUUGUUAAUCGAGGAAGCUGGUUCUAUCUGAAGUGAGCUUUCUCCAAAUUAGUUUGCAGUCUCGAUUCAAGUGGACCAUAAGGGAAGAACCUCUGAUGGUCUUGAAAGAGCAGCUGAACGCCCAGCAUAAUUUGUAUGUUAUCUGGAUUUUUUUUUUUUUCCCAAAUGUAAUUUAUAGAGCGACCCGAAGGAAUGAAAAAUAAUCUUUAGAAAGUGAUAAUGAUGAAAAUGUUUAGAAUAUUUGUCUUUGAGCGAUACCGCAAUGUUCAAUACUUGUAGCAGAACAUCUGAACCAUUUAUCUUGUUAGAUCUUUCUGUUAAAAUCUUCAA